This 218-nucleotide unclassified non-coding RNA is filed under the name Preussia flanaganii. RNAcentral describes it as "partial internal transcribed spacer region". The stretch from base 1 to 46 matches the Rfam family "Eukaryotic small subunit ribosomal RNA", at positions 1786 to 1831 of the family's 1831-position model. The record is from RNAcentral. Lineage: Eukaryota; Fungi; Ascomycota; Dothideomycetes; Pleosporales; Sporormiaceae.
AAGUCGUAACAAGGUUUCCGUAGGUGAACCUGCGGAAGGAUCAUUAUCGUGGGGCUUCGGCCCUCUCGAGAUAGAAACCCUUGCCUUUUCGAGUACCCUUCGUUUCCUCGGCAGGCUCGCCUGCCAAUGGGGACCCAAUCAAACCCUUUGUAUAAGCAGUAUACGUCUGAAAAUAAUACAAAAUAUUAAAACUUUCAACAACGGAUCUCUUGGUUCUG